This 83-nucleotide non-coding RNA is filed under the name Planctomycetota bacterium. RNAcentral's name for it is "Planctomycetes bacterium c-di-GMP sequence". It matches the Rfam family "c-di-GMP-I-GGC riboswitch aptamer". The record is from RNAcentral. Lineage: Bacteria; Pseudomonadati; Planctomycetota.
CUCGAUACGGGCAAACCCCGGGCAACCGGGGGGCGCAAAGCUGAGGGUCCUGCACGACGUGUGGGACAGCCUGGCUGCCGAAG